Molecule: unclassified non-coding RNA, 526 nt
Filed under: Hevea brasiliensis (rubber tree)
Lineage: Eukaryota; Viridiplantae; Streptophyta; Magnoliopsida; Malpighiales; Euphorbiaceae
Source: RNAcentral
GAUCCUCUCGCCUAGGUGCCACAAGAAUGGCUGACUUGCUGUUCUGAUUUGGCUUCUUUGUGCUGCCCUUUUUCUUUUGAGCAACUCGUUUGGUAGCACAUGAGCCAUGCUCAUUCAAAGAUGCUGACCCAGCUCUUGAUGAACCCUGGUUUCCACCCUUGGCAGCUCGUUUCUGGCGAACAAAUUCCAUCAGGGGUGUAGUAAUAGGCAUUUCUUUUGCAGCAGAAGGUUCUGCCUCUUUUCUUUCCAAAUGAGUUUCGGAACUAGGAGGAUUCUCCACUGGCUUUGCAAUAAGUUUGAGGAAUUCCAGAUAAUCAGAAUCUUCAUAAAUGCUCCCUUCACGACUAUUUUUUACAGUAGAAGGCUUAGGAACUCGUUGAGAAGGAGCGUAUUCAACUGUGGCCUUGAACCGAGCACCCUUCUCGUUAACAAAUAUGUGGCCAUGGAAGAACUCAGCAAACUCUAGAACAUCUCCUGGGCUUUUGAAAUUUACGUAGGCUAGAGAAUAUCUCUGAUGCUUCUUACU